GCGAUUGUAGCUCAGUUGGUAGAGCAGCAGGCUGAAUGCGCGUCGGUGGUUCAAGUCCAUCCAAUCGCACCA
This 72-nucleotide transfer RNA is filed under the name Faecalibacterium prausnitzii. Its description in RNAcentral is "tRNA-Gln". It matches the Rfam family "tRNA". Rfam says of the family: Transfer RNA (tRNA) molecules are approximately 80 nucleotides in length. Their secondary structure includes four short double-helical elements and three loops (D, anti-codon, and T loops). Lineage: Bacteria; Bacillati; Bacillota; Clostridia; Eubacteriales; Oscillospiraceae. RNAcentral also lists the same sequence under 1 other name. The record is from RNAcentral.